CUAGCCCUAAACGAUGUAUGCUUGGUGUCUGGAGUUUUAAAUCUCUGGGUGCCGCCGCUAACGCUUUUAGCAUACCGCCUGGGGAGUACGCACGCAAGUGUGAAACUCAAAGGAAUUGACGGGGACCCGCACAAGCGGUGGAGCAUGUGGUUUAAUUCGACGCAACGCGAAGAACCUUACCUGGACUAGAAUGUGAGGGAAUGUCAUCUAAUAGUGGCAGUUUGAGCAAUCAAACCCGAAACAAGGUGC
RNAcentral lists this ribosomal RNA (249 nucleotides) under uncultured bacterium. RNAcentral describes it as "partial 16S ribosomal RNA". It matches the Rfam family "Bacterial small subunit ribosomal RNA", at positions 796 to 1041 of the family's 1533-position model. The record is from RNAcentral.